GAUUAGAUACCCUGGUAGUCCACGCCGUAAACGUUGGGCGCUAGAUGUAGGGACCUUUCCACGGUUUCUGUGUCGUAGCUAACGCAUUAAGCGCCCCGCCCGGGGAGUACGGCCGCAAGGCUAAAACUCAAAGGAAUUGACGGGGGCCCGCACAAGCGGCGGAGCAUGCGGAUUAAUUCGAUGCAACGCGAAGAACCUUACCAAGGCUUGACAUACACCGGAAACGGCCAGAGAUGGUUGCCCCCUUGUGGUCGGUGUACAGGUGGUGCAUGGUUGUCGUCAGCUCGCGCCGUGAGAUGUUGGGUUAAGUCCCGCAACGAGCGCAACCCUCGUUCUAUGUUGCCAGCGCGUUAUGGCGGGGACUCAUAGGAGACUGCCGGGGUCAACUCGGAGGAAGGUGGGGAUGACGUCAAAUCAUCAUGCCCCUUAUGUCUUGGGCUUCACGCAUGCUACAAUGGCCGGUACAAAGGGCUGCGAUACCGUAAGGUGGAGCGAAUCCCAAAAAGCCGGUCUCAGUUCGGAUUGAGGUCUGCAACUCGACCUCAUGAAGUCGGAGUCGCUAGUAAUCGCAGAUCAGCAACGCUGCGGUGAAUACGUUCCCGGGCCUUGUACACACCGCCCGUCAAGUCAUGAAAGUCGGUAACACCCGAAGCCGGUGGCCUAACCCUUGUGGAAGGAGCCGUCGAAGGUGGGAUCGGUGAUUAGGACUAAGUCGUAACAAGG
This 723-nucleotide ribosomal RNA is filed under the name uncultured bacterium. RNAcentral's name for it is "bacterial SSU rRNA". It matches the Rfam family "Bacterial small subunit ribosomal RNA", at positions 776 to 1496 of the family's 1533-position model. The record is from RNAcentral.